AGGUCGUGACGUGUACAAUGUU
RNAcentral lists this microRNA (22 nucleotides) under Patiria miniata (bat star). RNAcentral describes it as "Pmi-Mir-92-o24_5p* (star (passenger))". The record is from RNAcentral. Lineage: Eukaryota; Metazoa; Echinodermata; Asteroidea; Valvatida; Asterinidae.